This 1371-nucleotide ribosomal RNA is filed under the name uncultured bacterium. RNAcentral describes it as "16S ribosomal RNA". It matches the Rfam family "Bacterial small subunit ribosomal RNA", at positions 33 to 1393 of the family's 1533-position model. The record is from RNAcentral.
ACGCUGGCGGUAUGCUUAACACAUGCAAGUCGAACGGAAACGAUACUAGCUUGCUAGUAGGCGUCGAGUGGCGGACGGGUGAGUAACGCGUAGGAAUCUGCCUGAUAGUGGGGGAUAGCCCGAAGAAAUUCGGAUUAAUACCGCAUAAUCUAUUCGUAGUAAAGUGGGGGACUUUCGAGCCUCACGCUAUCAGAUGAGCCUGCGUAAGAUUAGCUAGUUGGUAGGGUAAAAGCCUACCAAGGCGACGAUCUUUAGCUGGUCUGAGAGGAUGAUCAGCCACAUCGGGACUGAGACACGGCCCGAACUCCUACGGGAGGCAGCAGUGGGGAAUAUUGGACAAUGGGGGCAACCCUGAUCCAGCAAUACCGCGUGUGUGAAGAAGGCCUGAGGGUUGUAAAGCACUUUCAAUUGUGAAGAAAAGCUAGUGGUUAAUAGCCAUUAGCCUUGACGUUAACUUUAGAAGAAGCACCGGCUAACUCCGUGCCAGCAGCCGCGGUAAUACGGAGGGUGCAAGCGUUAAUCGGAAUUACUGGGCGUAAAGCGUGCGUAGGCGGUUUAUUAAGUCAGAUGUGAAAGCCCCGGGCUUAACCUGGGAACUGCAUUUGAAACUGGUCAACUAGAGUAUGGUAGAGGAAAGUGGAAUUUCUGGUGUAGCGGUGAAAUGCGUAGAUAUCAGAAAGGAACAUCAAUGGCGAAGGCAACUUUCUGGACCAAUACUGACGCUGAGGUACGAAAGCGUGGGUAGCAAACAGGAUUAGAUACCCUGGUAGUCCACGCCGUAAACGAUGAUAACUAGCCGUUGGGGGGGAUUUACCCCUUAGUGGCGAAGCUAACGCGUUAAGUUAUCCGCCUGGGGAGUACGGCCGCAAGGUUAAAACUCAAAGGAAUUGACGGGGACCCGCACAAGCGGUGGAGCAUGUGGUUUAAUUCGAUGCAACGCGAAGAACCUUACCUGGUCUUGACAUCCUGCGAACUUUCUAGAAAUAGAUUGGUGCCUUCGGGAACGCAGUGACAGGUGCUGCAUGGCUGUCGUCAGCUCGUGUCGUGAGAUGUUGGGUUAAGUCCCGUAACGAGCGCAACCCCUAUCCUUAUUUGCCAGCACAUCAUGGUGGGAACUAUAAGGAGACUGCCGGUGAUAAACCGGAGGAAGGCGGGGACGACGUCAAGUCAUCAUGGCCCUUACGACCAGGGCUACACACGUGCUACAAUGGGAAGGACAAAGAGCCGCGAAGCCGCGAGGUGUAGCUAAUCUCAGAAACCUUUUCGUAGUCCGGAUUGGAGUCUGCAACUCGACUCCAUGAAGUCGGAAUCGCUAGUAAUCGUAGAUCAGAAUGCUACGGUGAAUACGUUCCCGGGUCUUGUACACACCGC